GUUAAAUUUGAAAUUCAGAUGCAUAACACAUUUUUUUUUUAGUAUGAGUACAUCCCAUGUAAUAUUUGGGACAUAUUUACAUGAAACAUUUAUUUAUUGCCUAUGUGUGUUUUUAUUUGCUAAAUCUGACAACCUAGCCUUAGAGGAUGAAUGGACAGAAGAGCUUCAACUCCCAGUGUUGUUGGUAUUGCAUGAUUUUGGUGGACAACAGCCACAGACAGUGCCCAGACCAGUGGAAGCAAUGAUAAAUCUGCAAGUAAAAACUAUUAGAAGAAUGCUGGAGAUAUUUUUUGGUUUGAAUACCAUGUUGUGGCAACAUCCUUCUUUUUUUAAAGUUCUGUCAAUUUGCAUUAAGUUGUUUUCUUAGCAAUUUUAUCAUAAGGAGGAGUCAGUGGAGGUGGAUAUGCUAUUUGGGGAUAAUCUUUCAAGAAAAAUGAUCCAAAAUACUCCAUAAGGAUGAGCCAAACAAAAUAGCAUUUGAAAGGAAAGAAGCUCAAGUGGUAGGUUAUACAAUUCAUGUUCCCCACACUAAGAACUUACUGACAAAAGCCAGCAAGCAUAUACAAAUAAGUCUUUUCACAUGUUGAUUAUCACCUGAAAUUUUAUCUGGAAUAUUAUUUCCAGGAUUAUAACAACAGAAGUGAUCAGAGACAAACUACACUGAGAAAGGAAAAUGUUACUGAAAGAGCAUUUGCAAACAUAAAGUCACCUACCUCACUUCAGAAACAUAAAACAGAUAAGUUGAUUUUAUAUAAGCUCCAGGAAUAUUGUAUGUGUGUCUCUCUUCUGUAGCUAAUUUGGACUGUAUGUACAUGCAGAGCUAUGUUUAAGAAAAGCCAGUUACCAUGGUGACACAGUACCCCAUCUAAAUGCAGAAUGAGAUAUCUAAUUUUGUGUGUUAACUAUUUGGCUGAAAAAUGAAGAAUGGCUUGGAAGCUACAGAUGGAUCAAGAAUAUCUCUCUAGGUUUCUUUAUCUUUGCCCUACCUCUGUCCUGGUCUGUCUCUUCUCCACUUAGACAAAAUACUAUUUUUUAUCCUUCAUUAUUAAGUUGAUGAUGCCGUUUUUCUCAGAUGCCUGAAUCUGACAAAAAUAACGCAGAAAGGCAAGGUACUUCUUUUAAGAUAGGACAAAACUUUGACAUAUUAAACAAGUAAAUUAAUCUUUAAAUAAUUGCCUUGUUAGUUCUCAUUAGAAGUGGCCUUUUCAAAAUAAAUCCCUAAUAUUAGAGCUUGUUGAUAUCUCUAAUUUUAGUCUUUUUCCUCCCACAUCCAGUCACAAGUAUUUUUAUUUUAGAGUCAUGCUCUCUGGCUGGAGUACAGGGAAGCUGUUUUACAUGAAAAAUGCUACACAAGUACAUAUGGAAAUGAACAAGAAUGUAUAAAUUCCAAUCUUCAAUCUUUUUAAUUAUUUUUUUUUCUUUGAGACAGAGCCUUGUUCUGUUGCCCAGGCAGGAGUGCAGUGGUGCAAUCUGGGCUCGCUGCAACCUCCGCCUUCCGGGCUAAAGCGGAAGCCUCCCAAGUAGCUGCGAUUACAGGCAGGAGCCACUGCGCCCAGCGAAUUUUUGUAUUUGUAGCAGAGACGGGGUUUCACCAUGUUGCCCAGGCUGGUCUCAAACUCCUGACCUCAAGUAAUGGGCCUGCCUCAGCCUCCCAAAGUGCUGGGAUUGCAGGUGUGAGUCCCUGUGCCCAGUCAAGAAUAUUUUUUAAAAAUCCAAUAUCUAAUAAGUGUUCUUUCAAUAUUCACAACAACAAGUGAUACCUAAGAGACACAUUUUCCAUGACUUUGUGCUUAUGCACUUGCUCAUUUGUUGGAUCAAUGGCAGAGGUACUCUCAGGGGAAACUACCACAGGGUAAGAAAGAGGCCUGAUAAGAUACUGACUAAAGCCAAGUCUUCGUUAACAAUGGUCUAAUGGGUAGUCAUUGCAUGGGUCAUGAAUCAAACACAUAACCACCAGCCAAUCUUCUUAUGAAGUUAAAUAUAAUAAAUACAUUAUUAGUUUUUAUCUCUUCUACCUUUUACCACAUUGUCGUUGCUAUCCAAAUAAACUGAGCAUACAAAAAUCAGUUACUGGGUGAACAGAAAAAUGAAAAUAUGCUUCACCAGUCGCCACACAGAAAAGUCAUGGCUGGGAAGGCCAAGAAAGAGCAGUUGCCUGUUUCUAAUAGGUAGUGAAUUUAGUCUUUCCUGAUUCAAGCAAGUGUCUGAUGCACUUUAAAGUGACAUUGCACUUAGUGAUAUAAGAAUCUUUUUAAAAAAGACUAUCUGACCUUCUAAGCACUCAUAAUAUAGUAUAGAAAUAGGACUAUAGAGCUUGUAACUGGAAUCAGUAAGUUUUAAGGUGGUACUCUUUGUGACUUUAAUAUCUAAAGCCCCUGUGAGUCCAUUAAUGUAAAACGUGUAACUUGUUCACUAUACAGCUGGGAGUCUUUAAAUGCCAUACAUAGUAAGAGAAUUUCUGACUUUGGAAGAAUUCAAACUAUUCAAAGUAGAUGGUAACAGAAAGUACAAAUUCUAGUGCUGUGUCAGUGAACAGAACUAAUCCAUGGAGUACAGGAUAUAGGAGUUAUAUUGUGUGUGAUCUCACUGUAUACUUAUGUUUUUCCUCUUUGUGUAAGUGAUCAUGAAAAUUUAUGAUACAUCUAUUUUAUUUGUUUGCACAGCUAAAUGCUCAUUACCAAGAAAACUUAACAAUUGCUUUUCUGGUAAGAUUUCAGAACCAUUCACUACAAAUUUUGGGGCAACUGUAAUGGCAGAAUGAACCAUCCUCAGGAGAGUGAAAUGGACAUUAGGGUUCUCUUCUCCUGCUCAGAUCUAGUAAUUGUGCAGGUGAACCGAGAUUUGGUGGAACUCUUUAAAAGAAAAUUCUUCUUUGUUCUCCGCAGGGUGCGGUGUGGCUCACGAC
Molecule: long non-coding RNA, 2905 nt
Organism: Cercocebus atys (sooty mangabey)
Lineage: Eukaryota; Metazoa; Chordata; Mammalia; Primates; Cercopithecidae
Source: Ensembl